Long non-coding RNA from Thalassophryne amazonica, 165 nucleotides. RefSeq lists it as uncharacterized. The transcript has 2 exons. Lineage: Eukaryota; Metazoa; Chordata; Actinopteri; Batrachoidiformes; Batrachoididae. The record is from RefSeq and is a predicted model, not a curated record.
UGUACCUACUACAGGCAAGUGAAAUGUGGGUGUGCACCAAUGUGCUGGUACAUGCAUAGAGAAUCGAAGACAAAAUAUUUAAGCUGACCCUCCUUCACAAUGUGGGCGAUACUCCUCAUCUUACUGUCCCUAAGUAGCUGCUUGUUUGAUCCUCCAAAAAAAAAA